Molecule: non-coding RNA, 722 nt
Organism: Schizosaccharomyces pombe (fission yeast)
Lineage: Eukaryota; Fungi; Ascomycota; Schizosaccharomycetes; Schizosaccharomycetales; Schizosaccharomycetaceae
Source: the annotation of a GenBank genome assembly
AAAAAAAAAGAAGAUGAAGGUAAAAUGUGUGUGUCUUGUCUUUAUGAUAAAACGACGUCGAUCCCCAACGGAUUGAGAUAGACAAGUCAUAAAACGUUAGCAUCGGUACAAAUUUUACAGUCGCUCUUUUCUUUCAUUUGUAUCUAAUUCCCUUUUACACUCAAAUACAGUGGGCCGAUUGGGAUCUGCUGAUAAAGUGCAAAUGAACCUGUUGGUUAAUAUCAAACUCACAGUAAGUGUAUAUAGGAUAAUAAUCUAACAAUCUCCCAUCUUACGUACCCUAAAGAUUGCAUAGUAGCAAACAAUUUUGUCUCCGCUGCAGCCAAUUCAAUGCAGGAGAUAUCCCCUGACUCCGUUUGUUGGCAAACUCGUUCAGUUUGAUUGUUUAGACUUUCAAAGAAGACCUUCUGUUCUUUGGUUGAAUCCUUCAAAAAUUCUUGUACUUUUUCUUCCAUUAUGCUCUUUCAGAGGAAGAUUCAGUCGUACUGCUAUAUCUAAUAAGUUGAAGUCAGGCUAACGCUGUUUAAGAGCUGCAUGUCAUGAGUAUUGCUGAGUAACUUUAACACGCUUGUAGACAGAUAUCAAAACUCACAAAUGGCCCGUAGUUUAGCAACAACAUCAAAUGUUGUUCUGUUCUUACAAUUUCUUACGAUUUUGUUACUAACGUUGAGACUUUAGUCAAUCAUCAACUCGCUGUGCUUUUAAAUUUGCUAUCACAGAUA